UACGUAGGGUGCGAGCGUUAAUCGGAAUUACUGGGCGUAAAGCGUGCGCAGGCGGUUCGCCAAGUCAGGUGUGAAAUCCCCGGGCUUAACCUGGGAAUUGCGCUUGAAACUAGCGGGCUUGAGUGUGGCAGAGGGGGGUGGAAUUCCACGUGUAGCAGUGAAAUGCGUAGAGAUGUGGAGGAACACCGGUGGCGAAGGCGGCAUCCUGGACCGACAUUGACGCUGAACGGCGAAAGCUAGGGGAGCAAACGGG
RNAcentral lists this ribosomal RNA (253 nucleotides) under uncultured prokaryote. Its description in RNAcentral is "partial 16S ribosomal RNA". It matches the Rfam family "Bacterial small subunit ribosomal RNA", at positions 524 to 776 of the family's 1533-position model. The record is from RNAcentral.